GAAGAAUAGUUAAGUAGCAAUUCAUGCUUUCUUUUUCUUGUUGUUAUUGGUUUUUUUUUUUUUUUCUUUGUUUGGUUAUUUUUAAAAGGACGGUUAUAUUGGGCUGUGGAUUCUUCGUCGUUUCUCGAAAUUUAGUGUUUCUCUUAUGGAUCAUUACAAACAUGUUUCGUACAAUAGACGCCCUUGGCGUUACAAUUUAGGAUUUAAAAAGUCUAUUUGGAAGGCCUUUUUUUUUUUUUAAUUAGUUUCAACACUUAUUUUGAAGAUUUCUGUUCCUGAUUUUAACUGCAAAUAUCUUGUAUC
RNAcentral lists this unclassified non-coding RNA (303 nucleotides) under Hevea brasiliensis (rubber tree). Lineage: Eukaryota; Viridiplantae; Streptophyta; Magnoliopsida; Malpighiales; Euphorbiaceae. The record is from RNAcentral.